This 27-nucleotide microRNA is filed under the name Octopus vulgaris (common octopus). RNAcentral describes it as "Ovu-Mir-12529_5p (mature (co-guide))". RNAcentral also lists the same sequence under 1 other name. Lineage: Eukaryota; Metazoa; Mollusca; Cephalopoda; Octopoda; Octopodidae. The record is from RNAcentral.
CCGAUGGAUCUGUUACGUGACACGAUG